This 458-nucleotide ribosomal RNA is filed under the name uncultured bacterium. RNAcentral's name for it is "partial 16S ribosomal RNA". It matches the Rfam family "Bacterial small subunit ribosomal RNA", at positions 338 to 795 of the family's 1533-position model. The record is from RNAcentral.
CCUACGGGAGGCAGCAGUGGGGAAUAUUGCACAAUGGGGGAAACCCUGAUGCAGCGACGCCGCGUGAGUGAAGAAGUAUUUCGGUAUGUAAAGCUCUAUCAGCAGGGAAGAAAUAGCGACCUUUGGGUCGCCAGACGGUACCUGACUAAGAAGCCCCGGCUAACUACGUGCCAGCAGCCGCGGUAAUACGUAGGGGGCAAGCGUUAUCCGGAUUUACUGGGUGUAAAGGGAGCGUAGACGGCAGCACAAGUCUGAAGUGAAAUGCCGGGGCUUAACCCCGGAACUGCUUUGGAAACUGUGCAGCUAGAGUGCAGGAGAGGUAAGUGGAAUUCCUAGUGUAGCGGUGAAAUGCGUAGAUAUAUGGAAGAACACCAGUGGCGAAGGCGGCUGUCUGGUCUGCAACUGACGCUGAGGCUCGAAAGCAUGGGUAGCGAACAGGAUUAGAUACCCCUGUAGUC